RNAcentral lists this ribosomal RNA (297 nucleotides) under uncultured bacterium. Its description in RNAcentral is "partial 16S ribosomal RNA". It matches the Rfam family "Bacterial small subunit ribosomal RNA", at positions 28 to 325 of the family's 1533-position model. The record is from RNAcentral.
GACGAACGCUGGCGGCGUGCUUAACACAUGCAAGUCGAGCGGUAAGGCCCUUUUUGGGGGUACACGAGCGGCGAACGGGUGAGUAACACGUGGGUGACCUGCCCUCAGCUCUGGGAUAAGCCUGGGAAACUGGGUCUAAUACUGGAUAUGACCUUUCCUCGCAUGGGGUUGGGUGGAAAGUUUUUCGGCUGGGGAGUGGCCCGCGGCCUAUCAGCUUGUUGGUGGGGUGAUGGCCUACCAAAGCGACGACGGGUAGGCCGGCCUGAGAGGGCGACCGGCCGACACUGGGACUGAGAC